RNAcentral lists this long non-coding RNA (571 nucleotides) under Homo sapiens (human). RNAcentral's name for it is "non-protein coding lnc-DNAAF3-1:1". The record is from RNAcentral. Lineage: Eukaryota; Metazoa; Chordata; Mammalia; Primates; Hominidae.
AGUGUCCUCGGGGAGUCUCAAGCAGCCCGGAGGAGACUGACGGUCCCUGGGACCCUGAAGGUCACCCGGGCGGCCCCCUCACUGACCCUCCAAACGCCCCUGUCCUCGCCCUGCCUCCUGCCAUUCCCGGCCUGAGUCUCAGCAUGGCGGAUGGGUGAGUGAUGCCCCAAGGGAACCUCGCCCUGCACCAGCCCCAAUCAGACGCCGCUCCUCCAACUACCGCGCUUAUGCCACGGAGCCGCACGCCAAGGUGGGACGGGGCUUCCUGGGGGCAGAGUACAGGCGCCGGAGGGAUCCAAGACCCUGGGAGUGGGGGGAGGAGCCAGGGCUGCGAAGGGGGCGGGGACUACGCGGAGGGGCUUCAGGGGCGGAGUUUUGCAGAGGGUCAUGCUCGGAUUGGUGACAGCAGCCUGCGGGCGGAACUCCGUUGCCCUCGGACUUGCUUAGGGAUAGAUGGGAAGUGCCUAUCCAAAGGAAGAGACCCAGAUUGGUGGAUGGGAAUGAGGGGCGUGGCCUCCCGUAGACUCAGGGCUCAAGUUGGACGUGGGCCCAAAUCUGGACCGGCUGGGUU